This 1546-nucleotide long non-coding RNA is filed under the name Anas platyrhynchos platyrhynchos (common mallard). RNAcentral's name for it is "lncRNA (ENSAPLG00000025904.1)". The record is from RNAcentral. Lineage: Eukaryota; Metazoa; Chordata; Aves; Anseriformes; Anatidae.
CUUCUCUUGAGAAGUUUCCUGAGUGGGUCACCAGCUCCGUGCCUUCCCCACUCAGGACCAUUUGCCCCCUAGGGUCGUGAUUUCUCACCGAUCUUUUCCUUAAGAAAAAAAAAAGAUAAAUACUUUUCAACAUCUUCCAAUGUUAUGGGCUGUCCGUCCCCGUUUUGUCCUUUUGCGAUGUAUUCGCAGUAAUUUGCAACUUUUGAAAGCCACUCAUUGUUUCUCUGAACUUAUUGAAAUGCACAGAUAUGUUAAAUAGGAAAAAAAACAACAACAACAACAACAAAAAAACACCCAAUGACUUCUGUUUCACUGCAUAUGCAAAGGGAGUGCGGCUUGACUCUUCCCUCGGCAUUCGUUAGUCACAUCCUGUUGUCCAUUGUUUUGCUGUUUGUGGUGCGAAUCCAAUUUAUUUAAUGGUAAAGAGCCAGAUUUUGCUUUUUUUUUUUUUUUUUUUUUCCAGCGAUGGUGAGAUGAUCUGAGAAAGCACACUGGAAACAGCAAUAGCAGAGAUGCCGAUGUGCAGCCACCGCGUAUUGCUGCACGAGCCGCUCAUAAGGGACGAGGCUCUCCAGACAGCUAGGUUUCUCUUCAUCUUCAUCCCGCCGGUGGCUGCGCUGCUUCUGGGAAGGUUCGCCUCCGGAACGACGUCGUGGUGAAUUUUACACAGCUACCGUCAGCCAGAUCACUGCAGCCAGGUUUUGAUAUCUCCAAAAUUGUUUGCCCCUGAGAGGGGAAGUUAGCACCAGCACGUGCUGCUCUUUAAUGCGAUUUCACCGUAAUGGGGUCCCGUGCAAAGGGAAGGCUUUUAUUUCAUGUUCUCCUCUCCCAAGUUCACUUCUUGCAGCCUUGCUGAAAUCUUCAGAAACAUCACCCAUCACAUCUCAGCGUUAAAUGUAAAAGGAACAUUUAAUGAGGUCUGAUUUUUUUCAUGUGGCUAGAGUAACCCUGGGUUAAUUUGCAUAUAAAAUUUAUGUGAAAUGGGAAGCAUUCCCCAUAAGAAAAACAUUUAUGUGCUUUGCUUUAGCUAUGCUAAUUGUGUUUUUACUCCUUUCAUCCAACAGUCUCAAAGUAUUUACAAUUCCUCCUAGAGCUGCAUAACACCACAAGGCAGGCAGGCAUUUCAUCCCCGUUUGUAAGUCAAAAAACUGCAAGUCGCAGGCAGGCUGCAGUUUGCCCAAGGACUGCAAAACAGUGGCAAGCCAAGGAUGGCAAAAGGAGUGAGUCCCUUUCGUAGCUGGUGCUCAAGCCACCGCAUCGGAUUUGUUGAGGUGACACACAGGGAAAGCACAAAACAAAUUCUUCCUGGGCAUUGAUGCGAUCGGUAGCAGUGCUGCAUUCAGGAAGCUCAUUUUUACCUGCCGCCAGUGCCGUGAAAUUGGGGUAGAUAUUGAGUGAAACUGAGUGAUGCCGCAAGGUGUGCAGGAAGGUGUUUGUGGGGUGGGAGGCAGGAGCACGUGGAUGAAAGGACAGCGCCUCCGGUGCCCAAACCUGCCUCCCGCAUGCCUUCAGCAUCCCUCAGACGUGUGGGAGCCCCUGGGAGCUU